AACGUAGGAGGCGAGCGUUAUCCGGAUUUACUGGGUGUAAAGCGCGUGUAGGCGGUCCUGCAAGUGGCGCGUGAAAGCGCCCGGCUCAACCGGGCGAGGACGUGACCGAACUGCGGGGCUAGAGGCAGGUAGAGGCGUGUGGAAUUCCGGGUGUAGUGGUGAAAUGCGUAGAGAUCCGGAGGAACACCAGUGGCGAAGGCGACACGCUGGGCCUGACCUGACGCUGAGAGGCGAAAGCAUGGGGAGCGAACGGGAUUAGAUACCCGGGUAGUCCCUGA
This 278-nucleotide ribosomal RNA is filed under the name uncultured prokaryote. RNAcentral describes it as "partial 16S ribosomal RNA". It matches the Rfam family "Bacterial small subunit ribosomal RNA", at positions 524 to 800 of the family's 1533-position model. The record is from RNAcentral.